GGGCCCGCACAAGCAGCGGAGCGUGUGGUUUAAUUCGAGGCUACACGAAGCACCUUACCUAGUCUUGACAGGGAUGUGAACGCGGGUGAAAGCCCAAGGUGAGCAAUCCACAUCCACCGGUGCUGCAUGGCUGUCGUCAGCUCGUGCCGUGAGGUGUUAGGUUAAGUCCUGUAACGAGCGCAACCCCCGGCUGCAGUUACACGUUGUCUGCAGCGACUGCCCGUGACAAGCGGGAGGAAGGUGGGGAUGACGUCAAGUCAGCAUGGCCUUGAUGACUAGGGCUACACACACGCUACAAUGGCCGGUACAAUGGGUCGCCAAGCCGCAAGGCGGAGCCAAUCCAGACAAAGCCGGUCUCAGUUCGGAUUGCGGGCUGCAACCCGCCCGCAUGAAGUCGGAGUUGCUAGUAACCGCGCGUCAGCCAUAGUGCGGUGAAUACGUUCCCGGGCCUU
This 452-nucleotide ribosomal RNA is filed under the name uncultured bacterium. RNAcentral describes it as "bacterial SSU rRNA". It matches the Rfam family "Bacterial small subunit ribosomal RNA", at positions 917 to 1382 of the family's 1533-position model. The record is from RNAcentral.